Molecule: ribosomal RNA, 381 nt
Filed under: marine Metazoa environmental sample
Lineage: Eukaryota; Metazoa
Description: SSU rRNA
Rfam family: Eukaryotic small subunit ribosomal RNA
Source: RNAcentral
AGCUCCAAUAGCGUAUAUUAAAGCUGUUGCAGUUAAAAAGCUCGUAGUUGGAUCUCGGAUUUGGGCUCGUGGUCUGAUGUCUUCAGUUACUGCUUGCCUAGAUCUACCCGCCGGUCUUCCCUUGUGUGCUCUUAACUGAGUGCCUCGGGUAACCGGAACGUUUACUUUGAAAAAAUUAGAGUGUUCAAAGCAGGCGCUCCGCCUGAAUAAUGGUGCAUGGAAUAAUGGAAUAGGACCUCGGUUCUAUUUUGUUGGUUUUCGGAACUCGAGGUAAUGAUUAAGAGGGACGGAUGGGGGCAUUCGUAUUACGGUGUUAGAGGUGAAAUUCUAGGAUCGCCGUAAGACGGACGGCUGCGAAAGCGUUUGUCAAACACGUUUUCA